This 30-nucleotide non-coding RNA is filed under the name Mus musculus (house mouse). Lineage: Eukaryota; Metazoa; Chordata; Mammalia; Rodentia; Muridae. The record is from RNAcentral.
UGCAAAUCCUUAUCAGUCUAGAGUCCACGA